UCCACUAUUUCUAAAUUGUUCUAAAAGCUACCUCGCCGUUUGAAAACGUCACCGAAAAUUAGACUACUGUACGUUCACAUAACCUGAGUAUCAGGCUUUCGGUAUUGAAGAGAGCCUGACACAAUUCGCCUCUACGGCCUUUCCGCCCCCAGAAUAUUUGCCACUUAAAAUUAUUUCCGGUUGUAGCAUAUUUCCGGUUGUCCGCUAUGUAAAUACGCAAUUUUCGUUAUUUACAGUUUUGUAUAUUAAAAUUUGAAUAAAUACGGAGAAAAUUCGGUAUGUAUUUGUCGAAAUAUUCACAUGAUCGAAUUCUAAACGUAAACUAUGCCUCAUUCGGGGAACCAUAGCUCGAUGGCUUUUUUCCAGGAGCCUAAAGAGACAACAUUCGGCACUCUGAAUAGGAUUUCUUCUUCCUCGGUCCUCGUGUCAUGUUAAUAGUUUAUUCGAGACAACUGUCUCACUUCAAAUUCGUUUCAAAUACGUCUGACACAGCGGCUAUUGUCUUCAAUUUCUGCCUGAUGUUGGCAUAUUAGUUCGAGAGAGCUGACAACUAUAUCCUUGCAGGUCUUGGAAAACAGCUCGGCAAUAAACUGAUAAAUAAGGCUUUUAAUAACUUUUAAAUUUAAAUAUACGGAACUAAAUAUUUGAAAAUUUCGGACAUCCACAUAUUUUCGUUCUAGGGCGACUAUUUACACGGCGAGAUAUUUAGACACGAUUUCUACUUAAACGUCUUCUCGUACUUAUUUUGUCAUUUUUAG
Paramuricea clavata is the source of this 758-nucleotide non-coding RNA. Lineage: Eukaryota; Metazoa; Cnidaria; Anthozoa; Malacalcyonacea; Plexauridae. The record is from the annotation of a GenBank genome assembly.